CUGGUGCUGUCACUGGUUGUUCUAAGCAUCGCCGCCGCCCCCAUCAUCGGCCUAGACUCCUUCCUGACCCACCAAUCCCGCAUCGACCCUCGCGCCUCCAACGAUUCCUUCCUCUCCCUCCCUUCCUCCAUCAAGAAAUCCCUCUCUACUCCAUCACCUCUCUCCCUCUCCCUCUCUCUCCCUCCCAUCCCCAUCUCCCUCUCCAUCCACCUCAUCGGCGACUUCCCCUCCGACACCUCCUCCCUCCUCUCCUCCUUC
RNAcentral lists this long non-coding RNA (258 nucleotides) under Lotus japonicus. RNAcentral's name for it is "long non-coding RNA (LJAP_LNC001367)". The record is from RNAcentral. Lineage: Eukaryota; Viridiplantae; Streptophyta; Magnoliopsida; Fabales; Fabaceae.